GCCCGGGUGGUGGAAUCGGUAGACACAAGGGAUUUAAAAUCCCUCGGCGUUCGCGCUGUGCGGGUUCAAGUCCCGCCCCGGGCA
This 84-nucleotide transfer RNA is filed under the name Samsonia erythrinae. RNAcentral's name for it is "tRNA-Leu". It matches the Rfam family "tRNA". Rfam says of the family: Transfer RNA (tRNA) molecules are approximately 80 nucleotides in length. The record is from RNAcentral. Lineage: Bacteria; Pseudomonadati; Pseudomonadota; Gammaproteobacteria; Enterobacterales; Pectobacteriaceae.